Molecule: long non-coding RNA, 159 nt
Filed under: Parus major (Great Tit)
Lineage: Eukaryota; Metazoa; Chordata; Aves; Passeriformes; Paridae
Description: lncRNA (ENSPMJG00000014814.1)
Source: RNAcentral
CAGCCUGCCUGGAGCAGCCUUAUCCCUGGAGAAAGAAUCCUUCACCCAGUGACCAGAGGAGGCUUUGGCUCUGACCCCGUGUGAGUGAGAGGAGAGGAGGAUUUCAGCCCCAGCUUCCCCUCGUGUGAUGCCAGCUGUGAGUGUUUCUUUGGCAGUGUC